Molecule: ribosomal RNA, 254 nt
Filed under: uncultured bacterium
Lineage: Bacteria
Description: partial 16S ribosomal RNA
Rfam family: Bacterial small subunit ribosomal RNA
Source: RNAcentral
CACGUAGGGGGCAAGCGUUGUCCGGAUUUAUUGGGCGUAAAGAGCUCGUAGGUGGUUCGGUAAGUCGGGUGUUAAACCCCCAGGCUCAACCUGGGGACGCCACUCGAUACUGCUGUGACUAGAGUCCGGUAGGGGAGCGUGGAAUUCCUGGUGUAGCGGUGAAAUGCGCAGAUAUCAGGAGGAACACCAGCGGCGAAGGCGGCGCUCUGGGCCGGUACCGACACUGAGGAGCGAAAGCGUGGGUAGCAAACAGG